Molecule: ribosomal RNA, 638 nt
Filed under: Dicranidion inaequale
Lineage: Eukaryota; Fungi; Ascomycota; Orbiliomycetes; Orbiliales; Orbiliaceae
Description: eukaryotic LSU rRNA
Rfam family: Eukaryotic large subunit ribosomal RNA
Source: RNAcentral
UGACCUCAGAUCAGACGAGGAUACCCGCUGAACUUAAGCAUAUCAAUAAGCGGAGGAAAAGAAACCAACAGGGAUUGCCUCAGUAACGGCGAGUGAAGCGGCAAGAGCUCAAAUUUGAAAUCUGGCGUCUUUUGGUGCCCGAGUUGUAAUUUGAAGAGGAUGCCUCGGUAGCGGCCCCAGCCUAAGUUCCUUGGAACAGGACGUCACAGAGGGUGAGAAUCCCGUACGUGGCCGGCGGCUUGCUUCCAUGUGUGGCUCCCUCGAAGAGUCGAGUUGUUUGGGAAUGCAGCUCAAAAUGGGUGGUAAAUUUCAUCUAAAGCUAAAUACUGGCGAGAGACCGAUAGCGCACAAGUAGAGUGAUCGAAAGAUGAAAAGCACUUUGAAAAGAGAGUUAAACAGUACGUGAAAUUGUUGAAAGGGAAGCGCUUGCAAUCAGACUCGCUGGCGGUUGAUCAACGGUCCUUCUGGGCCGUGCACUCUUCCGUCUUGCGGGCCAGCAUCGGUUGGGACGGCGGGACAAAGGCGUCGGGAAUGUGGCUCCCCUCGGGGAGUGUUAUAGCCCGGCGUGUAAUGCCGCCUGCCCCGACCGAGGUCCGCGCUCCGGCUAGGAUGCUGGCUUAAUGGUUGUAAGCGACCCG